UGGGUCGAUGCCCGAGUGGUUAAAGGGGGCGGAUUGUAAAUCCGCUGUGUUAUGCUACGUUGGUUCAAAUCCAACUCGGCCCAA
This 84-nucleotide transfer RNA is filed under the name Cyclotella cryptica. Its description in RNAcentral is "tRNA-Tyr". It matches the Rfam family "tRNA". From Rfam's summary of the family: Transfer RNA (tRNA) molecules are approximately 80 nucleotides in length. Their secondary structure includes four short double-helical elements and three loops (D, anti-codon, and T loops). Further hydrogen bonds mediate the characteristic L-shaped molecular structure. tRNAs have two regions of fundamental functional importance: the anti-codon, which is responsible for specific mRNA codon recognition, and the 3' end, to which the tRNAs corresponding amino acid is attached (by aminoacyl-tRNA synthetases). tRNAs cope with the degeneracy of the genetic code in two manners: having more than one tRNA (with a specific anti-codon) for a particular amino acid; and 'wobble' base-pairing, i.e. permitting non-standard base-pairing at the 3rd anti-codon position. Lineage: Eukaryota; Bacillariophyta; Thalassiosirophyceae; Thalassiosirales; Thalassiosiraceae. The record is from RNAcentral. RNAcentral also lists the same sequence under 9 other names.